RNAcentral lists this ribosomal RNA (200 nucleotides) under uncultured bacterium. RNAcentral's name for it is "partial 16S ribosomal RNA". It matches the Rfam family "Bacterial small subunit ribosomal RNA", at positions 328 to 539 of the family's 1533-position model. The record is from RNAcentral.
ACGCUCGACACCUACGGAGGCAGCAGUGGGGAAUAUUGGGCAAUGGGCGCAAGCCUGACCCAGCAACGCCGCGUGAAGGAAGAAGGCCCUCGGGUUGUAAACUUCUUUUGUCAGGGACGAAGCAAGUGACGGUACCUGACGAAUAAGCCACGGCUAACUACGUGCUAGCAGCCGCGGUAAUCUGAGCGGGCUGGCAAGGC